UUAAGUGAUAACCCCCCAAGCAGAGGAAAUUAUAAAAAUAUCAAAAGAAAACAACAAUUAUAGAAACCUUUUUCAUUGAUUUGGAUCGUUAGUGCGUGUAAUUUACUCGAUUUAAAAUCAUGGCUA
Molecule: long non-coding RNA, 126 nt
Organism: Lucilia sericata (common green bottle fly)
Lineage: Eukaryota; Metazoa; Arthropoda; Insecta; Diptera; Calliphoridae
Exons: 2
Source: RefSeq, a predicted model, not a curated record